GAUGAACGCUGGCGGCGUGCUUAACACAUGCAAGUCGAACGAGAAAUGGAGACGGAAACCUUCUGGCGGAAGGCUUCAUUUCGAGUGGCGGACGGGUGAGUAACGCGUGGGUAACCUGCCUCAUACAGGGGGAUAACAGUUGGAAACGACUGUUAAUACCGCAUAAGACCACAGCACCGCAUGGUGCGGGGGUAAAAACUCCGGUGGUAUGAGAUGGACCCGCGUUCGAUUAGCCAGUUGGCGGGGUAACGGCCCACCAAAGCGACGAUCGAUAGCCGAUCUGAGAGGAUGACCGGCCACAUUGGGACUGAGACACGGCCCAAACUCCUACGGAAGGCAGCAGUGGGGAAUAUUGCACAAGGGGGGCAACCCUGAUGCAGCGACGCCGCGUGAGUGAAGAAGUACUUCGGUAUGUAAAGCUCUAUCAGCAGGGAAGAAAAUGACGGUACCUGAGUAAGAAGCCCCGGCUAACUACGUG
RNAcentral lists this ribosomal RNA (478 nucleotides) under uncultured bacterium. Its description in RNAcentral is "partial 16S ribosomal RNA". It matches the Rfam family "Bacterial small subunit ribosomal RNA", at positions 28 to 507 of the family's 1533-position model. The record is from RNAcentral.